UGGGGAAUCUUGGACAAUGGGGGCAACCCUGAUCCAGCCAUGCCGCGUGAGUGAUGAAGGCCUUAGGGUUGUAAAGCUCUUUCACCGGUGAAGAUAAUGACGGUAGCAGGUAAAGAAACCCCGGCUAACUCCGUGCCAGCAGCCGCGGUAAUACGGAGGGGGUUAGCGUUGUUCGGAAUUACUGGGCGUAAAGCGCACGUAGGCGGACCAGAAAGUUGGGGGUGAAAUCCCGGGGGCUCAACCCCGGAACUGCCUCCAAAACUAUUGGUCUAGAGUUCGAGAGAGGUGAGUGGAAUUCCAAGUGUAGAGGUGAAAUUCGUAGAUAUUUGGAGGAACACCAGUGGCGAAGGCGGCUCACUGGCUCGAUACUGACGCUGAGGUGCGAAAGUGUGGGGAGCAAACAGGAUUAGAUACCCUGGGUAGUCCACACCGUAAAACGAUGAAUGCCAGUCGUCGGGUAGCAUGCUAUUCGGUGACACACCUAACGGAUUAAGCAUUCC
RNAcentral lists this ribosomal RNA (500 nucleotides) under uncultured bacterium. Its description in RNAcentral is "bacterial SSU rRNA". It matches the Rfam family "Bacterial small subunit ribosomal RNA", at positions 355 to 870 of the family's 1533-position model. The record is from RNAcentral.